RNAcentral lists this transfer-messenger RNA (410 nucleotides) under bovine gut metagenome. It matches the Rfam family "transfer-messenger RNA". From Rfam's summary of the family: Bacterial tmRNA, also known as 10Sa RNA or SsrA, is named for its dual tRNA and mRNA-like properties. Its role is to liberate the mRNA from a stalled ribosome. The record is from RNAcentral.
GGGGCUAUUUGGUUUUGACAGCAGGUAGAAUGGUUGUGUAAGCACGUCGAGCCAUGAGGCAAUGCUCGUUAAUCUCGCUUCAAAAUAUAACUGGCAACUAUGAGUAUGCUCUCGCUGCCUAAUCGAAGUAUAGUAGAUUAGCCUUUUUCGGAUGCAAGGCGUCUGAACGAGACAUCGCUCCAAGCCGAGUCUGUGGGCUCAAUGGAUAUAGCGGUGCGGAAAUUCACAGAAUAGGUGUCGCAGGCUGCGAUGCGGGACCGAAAACUUAGCAGAUAAGCCGGNNNNNNNNNNNNNNNNNNNNGGUUGGUGGCUUGGGUCUUGCCGCCGGACGAAAAUCAAAGCCAAGAUAAACGUGUAGAAAGCGGAAUUAUUCCUUGUUUGGACGCGAGUUCGACUCUCGCUAGCUCCAC